Molecule: non-coding RNA, 2446 nt
Organism: Salmo salar (Atlantic salmon)
Lineage: Eukaryota; Metazoa; Chordata; Actinopteri; Salmoniformes; Salmonidae
Source: RefSeq, a predicted model, not a curated record
UAUUCGAACACAACUCAGGUCUGGGUUCCAUUGGCGCAGGCAGCCGCAGAAUAACAGGUGGCAAGUCCGGCAUUUCUACUUAAUAAUAUUACGUAAAUUCCAGAAAGGGAAGUGGCUCCUUUGGAAUGUUAUCAGAAGUUAUCUAGCUAAACAAACAGAAGAAGGGAAACAUGGGAACAAUAGCAAGUCAAUUAGGGAAGGAUCUGCUCUCAGAAUAUCAGGUGACAAAAGAUAUCUAACGUGAAUUAGAUAUCUAGCCAAGAAAGUGUGCAAAACAAGUUGUUGGCCAUUGUAGUUACUAGGUUAGGGAAUAACUAACCAAGUUGUUUUUAGCCAGCUGGCUAUUUAUCGUUACUUUUUGCCCUCAUAAAAGAGUCGCGGCUCAGCUUGAAUUAUUGCCUAUAUUAACUAGCGAGUGCAUUUUCAGCUUUUGACGACUGUUAGCUAGCUAGUAGGACAACGUGUUGAGCACAUUGCAAGUGACAAACUGAUAAAAGCAAGACGUUGUGGUAAAAAUAUGGAAUGUGUGUGUAGUAUUAGAAAAUAAUGUAUCCCUUCCAGGAGCUGAUAUUUCUUACAAAACCAGAAAUUCUGUUGUAAGUAACUAGCUUUAUUCAUGAUCAUUUCAAUUGACUGAUACUGUUGUUUUCAAUAUCCUAUUUGAUACAAAUACAGUAUAUAAAUACAUAGGCUCCAUUUUGCCAGAGCUUAACGUUCUUGGCAACUGAAAUUUACAACAAAAUUUGAUCGGCAAGAUGGAUUGUUUGAACUAGGUUGGAAUGGUUUGUCAUUUUAGAUGUAUUGUUAAAGGGACUUGAUGAACAAUCAACAUCCAUACAGGCAGAACUAAGUUUGUUUGAUGCUUCUUUUCUGUAGGGCACACAAGCGAUUCAGUGAACUGCUCUCCAAAGAGGACAGAAACCUCACCAGUGUGCCCAUGGAGAAAGUCCUUUCACUGCCAGAACUCAAGGCCAACCCUUUCAGGAAAAGGAUCUGCCAUGUGUUCUCAACAUCUGAUAUGAAAGAUGGAAGUCUCAUCUUUGAGGACUUCCUUGAUCUCUUGAGUGCCUUCAGCGAUUCAGCUACACUGGAAAUCAAGUCCCACUAAGCAUUCCGCAUUUUUGGUAAAACAAUUGUUGGUAAUUCUUGGGGUAUAUGUAUUCAUGGAUGUCUGGUAGUGUGUGGGUGGCUGGUGAAAACAUAAAAUCGGAAUUUUUGAAGCUGGUGAACUGUUUGACUGAAGACACAAGGCUUACACCUGAAGAGAUGAGGCAGCUCAUCAGCAAUAUUCUCUGGGUCAGAUAUAGACAAAGAUGGGACAGUAAAUCUGUCAGAGUUCCAACAUGUUAUCGAGGUCACCAGAUUUCAUCAGUUCUUUUAAGAUUGUGCUGUGAAGUCUACGAAUAACACACCAGGAUAUGGAUGCUUUGGAUUCUGUUCUAUUCAUACUAAGAGGACCUCUUCUAUUUUUUUCAUUGUAAUACUAAUAACUUUGAGAUUUUGCCUUAAAUUAUACGGAGUGGCUUCCCCCCACCCCCAGACUAAAGGUUCCUAAGCUUCUGGGUGUGUGCGGAUCACACACUGCGCAUGUUUUUACCUCUACUUGACGCAUACAUUUGUGUUGUCUCUUUCCUUUCACAUUUCUCAUUGUUAAUCGUGAAUGAUAGAGAUAAUGGAGUCUUUUUGUAGGCACCAACUUCUCCGUGGUUCGUUGGACAAAGCCUAAGGGGAAAUGAAUGGUGUUUUUGGAUAAACGGCCAAAAUAAGUUUAGGUAAACACGGGCUUAAUGGUGAUUUUGGCGUUUAUUCCAAAACCCUAUUCUUUCCCAAUUCAUUUUUCACAUAGGGAUGGCUGAACGAAUCAAAGGUAACUAAUUUCCUGGGUUUUAGGACUACAAGCUGGCGAGCUCUGAUAAUUCUUCAGGUUUUUACCGGUUAAAGGUCCAUGCAGCAUCUGCAUACCAACCAUUUGAUCUCAUCAGUUUCAUGGGAUAUGCAUUUAGAUCUUCUUGUGUUGUUGUUUCGAAUGAUGGGCUAGUGGGCAAAUUUUAGAGCAGAUGUUAAACUGUAGCAUAGUUUAGGCUGUGUUAUUGCUUAUUUUUUUUGUCUGACUAAUGUCAUACUAUUAUAUUCGGUUCUGUUUUGUAGAAUAGUAUCAUUGUGAUCUUGCAGACAUUGAAUCAGCUUUGAUCAAACUUUAUUAAAAACAAGCACCAUUAGCCAGAGUAGCCUGUUCUAUAUGAAUAGAGCAGAGUGUGCGUAAAGUAGAGAACAAUUUUUCCGGGGGUGAAAAGGUUUGGGAAAAGUCUGAUCCACAGCCUAAAUUAUUACUCUGUAGAUUAAUAUUUUCUGUUUGAAAAUGUAUUUCUACAUCAUGUCAGUGCUGUCUUAACUGUUCAAGUUUUUUACAUCUAUAAAUAGCUAUAAUAAAAGUAAUCAAGUCUUA